CAAACUGCCGCGGUGGCGGGAGCUAAGCUCGCUUGGCUGGAGGCGGGUCAUCCUUCUUCUCGCAGCUCCCGCAACCCGGUGGCUCCCUGGACCCACCACCUUCAGUGCGCUCAGUUGCUGGGACUCAAGGCUUAUGCCAGUGCAGCUGCAGCUGGUGGUGGCAGUGGCUAGAAACCUUCUCUCCUCCUCUCCCCAAGGCGGCGCCCGGGCCACCCGGGCCGAAGCGCGGAUGGAUCGCGAGUGAACCGAGCCGCCCAGACCGACGCCACGGACAAGAACCUACUGGAGGCCAAGCGGGUUCCGGCCGGCUAGAGGAGAGUGUGAUCCGGAGGAACAAACUGGAACAAACUUGGCUCCCGCAGAUGCUACUCAGAGAGGACCCAGAAACAAGUCGCUCCAUUUCAUACUGAACCCAUUUCAGCCUCUUGAGUCUGGAAGGGACAGGCUAAGGAACUGGACAGACGGCUGACUGUUGCCUCAACAGCGCCGCACAGUGGCCAAGGCUCCAGCAUAGGAGGUCUCAGUACCUGCUGUGUCCCAUAGUCCCAAACCUCUGUCACCCUUUGUUAGGUAACUUCCUUUCAGAGCCCUACUUUCCUGGUAGGCGCGAUUAAGAGCAGGGCCAGAGGACUUAAACUGCUGGGAUCCAAACUUUGGUUUCACCAGUUACCAGCUGUCUCACCUGGCUAAUUUUAACCUUUUUGCCUGUCUCUUCCUCUAAAAUAAAAUUUAAAACACCUACCUCAAGGCUGACAUGAUUGUAAGCCCUUCCAUAAGUAAGUAACUUCAGCAUUCAGAAUGCUGCGGCAAGAGGUUUGCUUCAAGUUCCAGGCCAGUCUGAGCUACAGAUGAAACUCUGAC
Molecule: long non-coding RNA, 861 nt
Filed under: Rattus norvegicus (Norway rat)
Lineage: Eukaryota; Metazoa; Chordata; Mammalia; Rodentia; Muridae
Description: long non-coding RNA NONRATT033204
Source: RNAcentral